RNAcentral lists this unclassified non-coding RNA (30 nucleotides) under Lactiplantibacillus plantarum. RNAcentral's name for it is "Lactobacillus plantarum partial 16S-23S ribosomal RNA intergenic spacer". The record is from RNAcentral. Lineage: Bacteria; Bacillati; Bacillota; Bacilli; Lactobacillales; Lactobacillaceae.
AAGGAAUAUUACGGAAACCUACACAUUCUU